GACGAACGCUGGCGGCGUGCCUAAUACAUGCAAGUCGAACGCUGAAGGAGGAGCUUGCUUCUCUGGAUGAGUUGCGAACGGGUGAGUAACGCGUAGGUAACCUGCCUGGUAGCGGGUGAUAACUAUUGGAAACGAUAGCUAAUACCGCAUAAUAGUAGAUGUUGCAUGACAUUUGCUUAAAAGGUGCAAUUGCAUCACUACCAGAUGGACCUGCGUUGUAUUAGCUAGUUGGUGAGGUAACGGCUCACCAAGGCGACGAUACAUAGCCGACCUGAGAGGGGGAUCGGGCAAACUGGGACUGAGACACGGCCCAGACUCCUACGGGAGGCAGCAGUAGGGGAUCUUCGGCAAUGGACGGAAGUCUGAACGAGCAACGCCGCGUGAGUGAAGAAGGUUUUCGGAUCGUAAAGCUCCGUUGUAAGAGAAGAACGAGUGUGAGAGUGGAAAGUGCACACUGUGACGGUAUCUUACCAGAAAGGGACGGCUAACUACGUG
RNAcentral lists this ribosomal RNA (495 nucleotides) under uncultured bacterium. RNAcentral's name for it is "partial 16S ribosomal RNA". It matches the Rfam family "Bacterial small subunit ribosomal RNA", at positions 28 to 507 of the family's 1533-position model. The record is from RNAcentral.